Molecule: RNA transcript, 1312 nt
Organism: Oncorhynchus gorbuscha (pink salmon)
Lineage: Eukaryota; Metazoa; Chordata; Actinopteri; Salmoniformes; Salmonidae
Gene name: ferritin, middle subunit-like
Exons: 4
Source: RefSeq, a predicted model, not a curated record
AGAGUGGUCACUCGGCUCUCUUGUCAAUAUAAUAAAUAAUAUUUGCUUUAGGUCAUGUGUAUGAGUGGGCUCGUCUUUAAAUGACCCGCCUAGUUCCUGUUGAAAUUCUAAAUGUGAUUGGCUACGCUCUGUGAGGGUGGAUUUCACUUACGCAUUCCGUUUGGAACAAUAAAUAGAGCGAACAAGGCUCCUUCCAGUUCACAAGUCUGAGAAGACGCAUGAAGAAGUUCUUGCUGCAACAGUGAUUGAACGGAACUCCUCUGCCUUCGUCCCGCAUUAUAGAACAUUCCUGGUUGUUGACAUAGCACUAACUUGAACUGUAAUAGCAAAAUAGUCGAAGAAACUCUAUUUUUGUAACGUUCAUUUAGAUAUUCAAGAAAAUCUGCCGAAAUGGAGUCUCAGAUCCGCCAGAACUAUCACCACGAUUGCGAAGCUGCCGUCAACCGGAUGAUGAACUUGGAGAUGUUUGCCUCCUACACCUACACUUCAAUGGGUUUCUAUUUCUCCCGUGACGAUGUGGCUCUGCCUGGUUUCGCAUUUCUUCAAGGAGAACAGCGACGAGGAGCGGGAGAACGCCGACAAGCUACUCUCCUUCCAGAACAAGCGAGGUGGACGCAUUUUACUCCAGGACAUCAAGAAGCCAGAAUGUGAUGAGUGGGGCAAUGGGCUGGAGGCCAUGCAGUGUGCUCUGCAGCUGGAGAAGAAUGUGAACCAGGCCCUGCUGGACCUGCACAAGAUUGCCUCUGACAAGGUUGACCCCCAUCUGUGUGACUUUCUGGAGACUCAUUACCUGAAUGAUCAGGUGGAGGCCAUUAAGAAGCUGGGAGACCACAUCACCAACCUCACCAAGAUGGAUGCUGUCAACAACAAGAUGGUAGAGUACCUGUUUGACAAGCACACCCUGGGAGGCCAGAGCUAAACCACUUCCAUCCCCAGGCUACGGCCUCCAGCCUCAGACCAGGACUCCUGGCUUCUCUGAGAUCCUACUGGCUUUACAUUUAUAGGGAGGGGAGUGUUAAACUGGUGCAAUGCAACACAGCUGUAACAUUGAGGUGUUUCUGUUGGAAACACUACUGUAUUUGAGGCAAGGCAUCUUGUAAAACAAUUAAAAAGAUCACAAAUGUUUUUGUUGAUGACUUCUAAGUGUUGACCUGUAGUAAUGAUUCAGUCUAUUCAGGUUCUUUGCUCAGUAAGACAGAGCAAAGAACCUGAAUAUCUUCAUACCAGUGAUAAAUACUGACAAUUGUAGACCUACUCGUGGCUGAGGGUCAUAACAAUAGAAGUUUAAUAAAGCAUGUUACGUCUGACCACA